UGGCCCAGCUGCCACGGUGGGUGGGACGAGGGGGAGAAGAAAGAAGGAAUAAGGCACCAAUAGGGGUGUGCAGGUGUGGGUGGUGGGAGCAGCUGACUUGCCAAACCCACCGGAGUUUGCUCCACCCAGCUGGGCACAGUUGGGAAACCUGGCAGGGUUUGAUUGCCUGGUGCAUGGAAAAGCUCAUUUGGAAUGCCUGGUAUCUCCAACCAACCCUCAAUUAAGUGAUUAACUGCAAUGAUCAGAGGUUCAAAGAAAUACACAGGGUUGAAAAGUAUCCUCGCUUGUUUAAAAAGUAAGGAGAAUUUUUUUAAAAAGAGCCCAAAGAGAGACGAAUCCUCUUAACAGAAGAAAGGAGGAGGAAAUGAACAGAGAAGAGGAUUCCCAGAUACAACAGACACAGGAGCUCAUUGGCACACAGAUCACUGACCUUGAGAAGAUGGGGAAAAAGGUUCAGGAGAAAAGGAACACAUGCUGAAAACAGCCUCCUGCAAGAUUCACUGAGCUACAUUUAUAUCAAACUACUUCAGCAUCAGAAAUCUUGGGUUUCAUUUACUUUCCUCCCUCACCCAUCUUUAGUAUCAUCUUUGUCUUUUUUGGAAAACACUGCCAAAAUUUUGUAUUUCUGUCUCAACCAGAAGCUAUCUGAACCUCCCUGUUGUUCUGAAUUAGUGUCAUAAAUGGAAGAAGUUUUGACUUGCCAAUGUGUUUUGAAAAGCAAGUUGAUUUUCAUAUCCUUAUCUGAAUUCAGCCUGUCUGUGUAUGUUAAGUGAUUUGUCUGUUUUUGACUUUUGGAGAUGCUGCCAACUUAAUAGUCAUCACCUUGCAGAGGUGUAAACACCACAAGAAGUCAAGAAAAGUAAAUUUCUUGUUAUAAAGGUUUCUGGAGGUUAAGCCUGGAAUAGGAUAUAAAGUGGAGUUUUAAAUUUCAAAGAUAAGUAGCGGAGACAGCUAAAGUGUCACACAGAUUUAUAAAAAAAAAAUUAUCACUUUAUUAUAGCCAUCCCUCUGAGUAUAAAACUGAGAGGAGAGGGACUUUCUUUCUCCCUUUGCUUUUUACCAGAGGUAUUUUAUGCCAGAAUUCUUAGCCGUGCUCUUCAGAGGUGAGAGUGAUUUUAGUGUGGUGGUUGUGGAUAACUCUUGCAUGGAGCAGGGAUUUGGUGACUAAGACAGAAGGCCUUGGGUGCACACAGGUCUGAAAUUGUAACAGAGUUUGCAUUAAGAAAGGAUGAGAAGCAAUGCCUGAACUCAUGCUAAGCUCCCCCACAAGAUGACUGUAAAAUUAUUUUUGAGAGAGAUCCAGGUAAAGCUUAUGCAUAAAAAUUAAUCCAAGUGCUCAAACCCAAGCAACACAUUUUUGAUACAGAGCAUGUCAUCUCAGUGAGCUGGAGAGACGCAAAAUUAAAGGUGAAGUGGCCCAGAUCACCUUGGCUUUGGUGUUUGAGGCUGUUGAGUGCCUUACUUUGAAAGAAGAGUACAGAAAUAAGUGCCUUCUGAAUAUGGUAAUAACUUGAGAGUAUUCAGAGGGGAUAGAAGAUCCUUGUAUGUGAAAAAUAUCCUUGGGAACCAGUGCUAGACAUUAUGCAAAGUGAACCUGGCAGAAGUGAUGGGGAGCAGAGUGGAACUGCUGAACAGGUUUGUUGUGUGUCUUCUGCAGGAGGAAACCUUCAGUGCUGGGCAGAAGGAAGCCUGCAGAGGGCUGUGGGAGGAGGCAGAGCCAGCUUUGCACGGGAACACCUCAUCCAAGGAGAGGAUCCAAAGAAACAGGUGGGAGUGUGGCUACAAGAUGUGUGGAGAGCAGAAUGCUGCAAGGAAUGAAGAAAAUAAGAAAUGGAGUAAAUGGAGUGAAGGCUGUGUGGGCUGGUCACUGGUGUUCACUGGAAGGAAUGUUACAGGAUCUCCUGUCAGGUCUAUUGAGCUGACAGAGGCUGAUCCAGCACAGAGAUUCAGUGCCUGCUCUCCAGAGGAGGGCUCACCUGAGCCUCUGCAGCAGUGAGGAUUGCAUUCCUGCUUCUGGGAAUCCAGGAAUGCUCACACCAGGCACUUGGAGAGUCACUAAGGAGAACAGAUUCUGAUGAAAUUAUAGUUCACUUUUAAUGGCAUAAUCUGUGUUCAAGGAUAUUUUGCCUUUUCUCAUUUCUUCUUCAGGUGAUUUCCAUAGGAACAAAGCAGUCCCUUGCUGUAAUGCAACUGCCUCUGGGUUUAAACACUUCUGGUUAACUCCAGCCCAGAAGCAAAGCAGAUCUGUUUCUUAGACAAAAAAAGGAAAAUCAAGAGAGAAGAAUUGGAUGGAGGGGAAGAAUUUGAUUUGUGAGGGUUCUUUUCAGAAAGUACCAUGAGAUCUUAAGGCAGCAGGAUUAGAGUUCCUAUUGCUUGUGAAUUGCCUGAACUGCAUGAGUGAGCUUUAAGGAGAGCAGUAAUGAAGAAAUAAAACAACUUACAAGCUACAUCAGCCCUGGAAAAUAGAAGCAUUUCACAAAUGGUUUCAUCUUCUUUGCCUGGUGAUACCCAACAGUGAUGUACAAUUACUUCUUGUUGUAGUUCUGUUGUAUCUGAAACACAAAGCUUUCAGUCUAAACCUGGUUAAAGAGUAAAACAAGAGAAUGCAGCAAUUUCUAAACUAUCCAUUAGCUCAGCAGCAGGGUUGUCUCAGGCUGUUUUGAUAGAAGCAAAAAAAAAAAAUUAAAAAAAGGAAUAGUUUAAACUUUGCCUCAGGGGUUGGAAACCUAUUUUUCAGGCUGUUUAACUGUCAUUCUCCGUGCAUCUGUUCAAAUUAGCUUCAGACAGGGAAAUAAAUAGGAAAUAUGGCCCAAGGGUCCUUGGUUUUGUCAGAAGGGACUUAGAAAGAAGUGGGGGAGAAGAAGAAGGAAGUCUGGUUCAUGAAGGCCUGCUGGGUCUUUUUUGCUGAGAUGAAGUCAAAGCUGACUGAGGGGUAUUUUGUGAGAAAUAAAAUGCACUUCACAGCUCUCUCUGUCAUGUACUAUAAUUAUGAUCAACAUUUCUGUGUAUCAUAAUAAUGAUGAUAAUGAUGGCCACUCCUUCCCACCUCUGCUGCAAGAAAAGAGCUGACUGCAACAGGAUGUACUGUUUUCUGUAUGUGAGCACUUUGCUUUCUUGACAUAAAAAAAGGGAAAAGAAAAACUGAAGACUGAAAAUGGAAGAAAACAAAACAGAUCUUGGUGCUUGUGGUUCUUUGCACUGGGAGAGAAAAAAAUCCACAACAUGUUUCCCUGAACCAAAUAAAGAGUGAUAUUUAUAUUUAUAUUUAUUGCAAUAUAAGCCCCUUUUUGAUAGGUGUGUCUUUCCUGGAGUUGUUGGAAGUCACAUGAUCCAACAUCUUGGGCUUUUUUGGGGGAGAAGAAAAGAAAAUGCCAGUGUGAGGAAUAUUUCUGGGUAGAAAAAAUCUCCUAGGCAGCCACAUAUAUUAAAGCAGAACUAUAAAUGUCCUGUCCAUUUAUUCAGAUGACUCUUACAAAGUGCAUUUGUGGGAUUUUGCCUCCUUCUCUGGCAGAAGAGAAACUGCAGUGAAGGAAGAAAUUAUUCUGUCUGUGCCCAAGGUUAAGGCAAUCUGUUGGAAAGAAUGAAAAGGACACUGAGAAAUGAAUAUCUUGUUUCAGCCAGGCCUAAAUCAUUAUCUGCAGCAUUUUGGAUGACUCAGUAUGUUUCCUGAGCUUAUUCUUGCCUCUCUCUCCUUUCUCUGCUGUACCUGAGGCUUUUCCUCCUGCUGAUUGUAGGAUAAGUCAGGUGUAGGCGCAGUGGAGGUCCAGUACUGGAGAAAUACUGGUGUGAACUUCCUGGGUGUUACACAUCUCCAGAUCUCUGCAAAGACCUCAGCCUGGGGAUGAGAGGACAUGGAAAAAAACUUACUAGAAACACAGCUAAUUUUGGGAUUAAAUGACUGGAUUUUGGAGUUAAUGACCAGGACAAUGAAAAGAACAGAAACAUAAUCCCAUCUGAGGAGCAACCUUCCCACUUUUCCCAGGCUGAGUGUGGAAAUAUAUUGCUCCUCACUGGAAAAUAAAGCCACGAGCACAUUAUUAAAAAUGGGAUGGAACAAAGCCAUCCCAUAAUUUUUGAUUUAAACAGGAGAACAGAAUUUUUAGGAUUAGCAUAUAAAUGAUUGACUGAGAUGUGAUAUUUGCUAUCAAGGGUCAAGUAUUAGAAAGCAGUCUCCAUUUUGUUUUUAAUUAUAAUCAACUACAGAAACAAUUAGUUAUAAACACAAGCUAAAUGUAAGAGGGGAGAGAGAAAAUUAACAGCUGGAGUGAGUAAAGAAAAGGGAGAAGCAUGAGCAAAUGAAAUGGAAAAAUACACAUAACCACAUUUGCUGCAGAGGUAGCAAGGAGAAGAGUAUGCACUUGUGUUCUUUGAAUAUGUUCUUGUUGACAGGAGCCUGGAAUUUUUAUUCACUGUAAUUUUCUUCUCCAAAGUAUCCAUUUUUACUUGAAAUCUUGAUGUUUCAGAUAAAUUACAUACCAGAGAAUCUUAAUUGCCUGCUUUUUCUCCAGAUGUGUGUGAUGAGAGUUAACAUAACAAAUCCAUAAUAAAUAUCACUGAUAUAUA
Passer domesticus (house sparrow) is the source of this 4563-nucleotide long non-coding RNA. RefSeq lists it as uncharacterized. The transcript has 7 exons. The record is from RefSeq and is a predicted model, not a curated record. NCBI's taxonomy places the organism in Eukaryota, Metazoa, Chordata, Aves, Passeriformes, Passeridae.